Molecule: ribosomal RNA, 233 nt
Filed under: uncultured bacterium
Lineage: Bacteria
Description: partial 16S ribosomal RNA
Rfam family: Bacterial small subunit ribosomal RNA
Source: RNAcentral
CGGGACGGGUGAGUAAUGUCUGGGAAACUGCCCGAUGGAGGGGGAUAACUACUGGAAACGGUAGCUAAUACCGCAUAACGUCGCAAGACCAAAGAGGGGACCGUUCGGGCCUCUUGCCAUCGGAUGUGCCCAGAUGGGAUUAGCUAGUAGGUGGGGUAACGGCUCACCUAGGCGACGAUCCCUAGCUGGUCUGAGAGGAUGAUCAGCCACACUGGGACUGAGACACGGCCCAG